GACGAACGCUGGCGGCGUGCCUAAUACAUGCAAGUAGAACGCACAGUUUAUACCGUAGCUUGCUACACCAUAGACUGUGAGUUGCGAACGGGUGAGUAACGCGUAGGUAACCUGCCUGGUAGCGGGGGAUAACUAUUGGAAACGAUAGCUAAUACCGCAUAAUAUUAAUUAUUGCAUGAUAAUUGAUUGAAAGAUGCAACUGCAUCACUACCAGAUGGACCUGCGUUGUAUUAGCUAGUAGGUGAGGUAACGGCUCACCUAGGCGACGAUACAUAGCCGACCUGAGAGGGUGAUCGGCCACACUGGGAAUGAGACACGGCCCAGACUCCUACGGGAGGCAGCAGUAGGGAAUCUUCGGCAAUGGACGAAAGUCUGACCGAGCAACGCCGCGUGAGUGAAGAAGGGUGUCGGAUCGUAAAGCUCGGUUGUAAGAGAAGAACGGGUGUGAGAGUGGAAAGUUCACACUGUGACGGUAUCUGACCAGAAAGGGACGGCUAAAUACGUG
Molecule: ribosomal RNA, 505 nt
Filed under: uncultured bacterium
Lineage: Bacteria
Description: partial 16S ribosomal RNA
Rfam family: Bacterial small subunit ribosomal RNA
Source: RNAcentral